RNAcentral lists this ribosomal RNA (442 nucleotides) under uncultured bacterium. RNAcentral describes it as "SSU rRNA". It matches the Rfam family "Bacterial small subunit ribosomal RNA", at positions 26 to 517 of the family's 1533-position model. The record is from RNAcentral.
AGAACGAACGCUGGCGGCAGGCUUAACACAUGCAAGUCGAGCGCCCCGCAAGGGGAGCGGCAGACGGGUGAGUAACGCGUGGGAACGUACCCCCCGGUUCGGAAUAACUCAGGGAAACUUGAGCUAAUACCGGAUACGGCUGGAAGGCGAAAGAUUUAUCGCCGGGGGAUCGGCCCGCGUCCGAUUAGCUAGUUGGUGUGGUAAUGGCGCACCAAGGCGACGAUCGGUAGCUGGUCUGAGAGGAUGAUCAGCCACACUGGGACUGAGACACGGCCCAGACUCCUACGGGAGGCAGCAGUGGGGAAUAUUGGACAAUGGGGCAACCCUGAUCCAGCAAUGCCGCGUGAGUGAUGAAGGCCUUAGGGUUGUAAAGCUCUUUCGCCCGCGACGAUGAUGACGGUAGCGGGAGAAGAAGCCCCGGCUAACUUCGUGCCAGCAGCCG